UUUUCAGAAUCUUCAAGAGGUGAUUCCGUCGGUGAGGAUGGAGCGGAAAAUGUCGAAAAUCGAGACUCUGACGCUGGCCAGAAAUUACAUCAUGGCACUCACAAACGUCAUAUGCGAGAUCAAAGGCGGCGACAAACCAUUCUCAUUCUUGGACCAGUUUGCGCCCACUUCAGAGCAGCAAGUGGAGGAGGUGAUGCGCAACUUCCGUCUUGGAGGAGCCUCCUCUUCUCAGACGGGCCGCCGGCGAGACCAGCAGUUAUAGAAACUGUCCUGGCCUCGGGCCUCGGCCCGCCUCUGGCCCCGGUCCCGGCUUUGUCCCCGGACGGAGCGGAGAAGACGGUCAAUAGGAGAAAUUGUCACCACCGGUGACCACAGUCCUUCGAAGGUGCGCCUUACGUUGAAGCCAAGUCUCUUCGUCCCAGAAAGCUGUGGAGUAGAUAUAAUUAUAUGAGAUGUCAGCUACGUGGGGGACGUCUGUUGGAAAGCAUCGACAGGCAAGCGUGCCCCUCGCGGUUAGCAGCUGAUGAGGGUGACACGUGUCACCUAAGAACUACAUGUGACAUUCGAGAUGAAGGAAUAAUGCGAAGUACAGUGGAUAAUGAUGCUUCGAGAGAAACUCAAAGGGAGGGUUGUGGAUGUAAAUAGUUUUAAAUAUGUGCGUUUUCACUUGUCAACAACAUGAAUGCCUUGAUAUGUGCCGAUGAACUAGAGCUGACGAGCUCUGCAGUCUUGAAGAACUGCUGACUUUAGAUCUUCAAGGGCUUCAAGACAUGGACAGAAAUUCGGCUCAAGGGCAAUGCGUUCGAUGAAAGUGUUCGGGGGUUGUUGGGGUACUGUGUUUUGUCCAUCCCCCGUGUGUCAGAUACUAGGCCCGGGUGACCUCAUAAGGGUGACCGAGUGACCUCCUAGGGGUGACCGGGUGACCUAGGGGUGAGGGGUGACCGCUGUGUGGUGAAGGUGACCAUAUGUGACCGAGUGAAAUGUGAAAGAAUAUGUGGGGUUUCAGUUUGACUGAAUGCUUCAAUAUGGAGGAAAUAGUGCAAUUUGGUAUUUGUCGGUGAUGUAUAGGAGGAAUUUUCGUACUGCUGGCUUUCUAUGCGCAAUAUUUUGUUAACUUCCUUCCAUUUUAAAUGUAUUCAUCUCUGCAAAUUUGCUGCUUUUACCGGUUACGUCUCCAUCAUGAUGCAUCACUAUAAAUCAAACUUCAGCAUUUGUCUGACCACGGUCAACUAAGAUUUCACCUUUCGCCUAUCCCAUCAUACGCUCACCUAUGACCUAUGUAUGCGCUCGAAACCAAUUGCUGAUGACUGAAAUGCGUUUGUAGAAGCUGAGAGAUUGUGUGCAGUGCCGCGAGUUGUCCUUAUGUGCAAUGGUAAAGUGGCUUUAAGCCGAUCAAUGGCGGUAACUGUCCCACGGUGAAGUCACAGAAACAACGUGAUCGCUGAGAAAUUAUAUAAGGGUAGGCUUAGAUACCUCCUUCAUAUUUCGCCUCACUUUUGCAUCGUAGCUGACAAAAAGAAAAUAAUUUUUAAGGGGACGGGUUAUUCAUAUCAGUUCAUCAGACAAUUUUACCAUUGUCAAUCAUUUUGAUGCGCCUAUAACCUUCGAUGGCUCUUUUUUUUAUAAAUGUCUCUAUCCGAACACCUGCGCUGAUUGGACCAUGCCAUGUUCCAGUCUAAUUGGAAUUUCAAAUACGAUAAAACUGAAAUUUGAAAAUACAUACGACGUGGCUCCACACCGAUUUCCUACGACGUCUUCCAUGAUGUUCGCCAUUGCUGUCCGUCUCGCUGAACCGACUUAGUUUGACUGAAUUGAAUUGCAAGGCUUGCCGAAUUACCAAUUCGAUUGUAUGAAAACUUGUUAUGUUUUGUCUGAGUAGCAGAAAACUCCCUGUAGAUGAUACCAGUGCAAAGUCUAUGGUUCAAAUGUCUGUCUUCCACAACGUUCUUUGUGCGUGGUUUCGGGUUGUACUGUGAAUGGUAAAUUAUUUUGUCAAUGAAAAGUGAACGCGAGGAAUAACAGAACGUCUUGUAUUACUGUGAAAGUGGCUACCUUUUUGUGUAAGUCUGCAUACAUUUUGUUUCGAAUGACUUUCUUUGUACGAAAUUCAUAAUAAUGGAAAUAUUUUGAUCUAUCACAGCACUACGUACAGCAUAAUUUGCUCGUUUUCUCGCCGUAGGCAUUUAAAUGAGUGUGUGUGCCCGUUUAAAUGAGUGUUUCCCCGGAGACUUGAUGCCUUAUGUGGUCGUUUUACCGCUUUUUUAGACACCUGCUGCCUUAUAGAAAUCUGCGUUUGUGAUUUGAAUAAUCGAGUCUUUCACGAUUGUUCAUCUACUAGCACCCAGAGCUCCAACUGAUAUUCCACAGAGAAUAGAGAUAGCGAUUUAUGCAGAAAUAUCCCAAGCAUGAGAUAAAUUUUCUCUCUGCGAUGGCUCAGCGUUUCAAAUGCAGUGAAUAAGCGGAGUAUGUCAUUUGGAGCUUGUCAUGUAUGAAUAUGUUGAGCUAAUGUGGAUAUACACAACUGACGUGAAAAUCCACACCGAAUUCGAACUGGCCAAUGAAUCGAGAAGACCAUGUUUGCUUACUGAAUGCUGAUCUUUUUGGUGAAAGUGUGUGCGAGUUUAAAGUUUGUGUCACAGAGUAUAUAGCUUUUGAUUAUUUAUUCCUUUAUGACCUAUUGUCGAAUGUGGGCUUGGGGAAGGGGUGCCCCGGAUUUGGCCAUUUUAUGACUGUAUUUUUGUAGAUAAGUGCUAAAUAUAUGGGAAACAAA
RNAcentral lists this long non-coding RNA (2770 nucleotides) under Amphibalanus amphitrite. RNAcentral describes it as "uncharacterized LOC122372483". Lineage: Eukaryota; Metazoa; Arthropoda; Thecostraca; Balanomorpha; Balanidae. The record is from RNAcentral.